Molecule: ribosomal RNA, 1362 nt
Filed under: Bacillus sp. PRRP1
Lineage: Bacteria; Bacillati; Bacillota; Bacilli; Caryophanales; Bacillaceae
Description: bacterial SSU rRNA
Rfam family: Bacterial small subunit ribosomal RNA
Source: RNAcentral
AGCUUGCUCCCUUAGGUCAGCGGCGGACGGGUGAGUAACACGUGGGUAACCUGCCUGUAAGACUGGGAUAACUCCGGGAAACCGGGGCUAAUACCGGAUGCUUGAUUGAACCGCAUGGUUCAAUCAUAAAAGGUGGCUUUUAGCUACCACUUACAGAUGGACCCGCGGCGCAUUAGCUAGUUGGUGAGGUAACGGCUCACCAAGGCGACGAUGCGUAGCCAACCUGAGAGGGUGAUCGGCCACACUGGGACUGAGACACGGCCCAGACUCCUACGGGAGGCAGCAGUAGGGAAUCUUCCGCAAUGGACGAAAGUCUGACGGAGCAACGCCGCGUGAGUGAUGAAGGUUUUCGGAUCGUAAAACUCUGUUGUUAGGGAAGAACAAGUACCGUUCGAAUAGGGCGGCACCUUGACGGUACCUAACCAGAAAGCCACGGCUAACUACGUGCCAGCAGCCGCGGUAAUACGUAGGUCCGAAGCGUUGUCCGGAAUUAUUGGGCGUAAAGCGCGCGCAGGCGGUUUCAUAAGUCUGAUGUGAAAGCCCCCGGCUCAACCGGGGAGGGUCAUUGGAAACUGGGGAACUUGAGUGCAGAAGAGGAGAGUGGAAUUCCACGUGUAGCGGUGAAAUGCGUAGAGAUGUGGAGGAACACCAGUGGCGAAGGCGACUCUCUGGUCUGUAACUGACGCUGAGGCGCGAAAGCGUGGGGAGCGAACAGGAUUAGAUACCCUGGUAGUCCACGCCGUAAACGAUGAGUGCUAAGUGUUAGAGGGUUUCCGCCCUUUAGUGCUGCAGCAAACGCAUUAAGCACUCCGCCUGGGGAGUACGGUCGCAAGACUGAAACUCAAAGGAAUUGACGGGGGCCCGCACAAGCGGUGGAGCAUGUGGUUUAAUUCGAAGCAACGCGAAGAACCUUACCAGGUCUUGACAUCCUCUGACAACCCUAGAGAUAGGGCUUCCCCAUCGGGGGCAGAGUGCCAGGUGGUGCAUGGUUGUCGUCAGCUCGUGUCGUGAGAUGUUGGGUUAAGUCCCGCAACGAGCGCAACCCUUGAUCUUAGUUGCCAGCAUUCAGUUGGGCACUCUAAGGUGACUGCCGGUGACAAACCGGAGGAAGGUGGGGAUGACGUCUUAUCAUCAUGCCCCUUAUGACCUGGGCUACACACGUGCUACAAUGGGCAGAACAAAGGGCAGCGAAGCCGCGAGGCUAAGCCAAUCCCACAAAUCUGUUCUCAGUUCGGAUCGCAGUCUGCAACUCGACUGCGUGAAGCUGGAAUCGCUAGUAAUCGCGGAUCAGCAUGCCGCGGUGAAUACGUUCGCGGGCCUUGUACACACCGCCCGUCACACCACGAGAGUUUGUAACACCCG